This 1089-nucleotide long non-coding RNA is filed under the name Homo sapiens (human). Its description in RNAcentral is "HSALNT0045154". The record is from RNAcentral. Lineage: Eukaryota; Metazoa; Chordata; Mammalia; Primates; Hominidae.
UGAUUUUUGAUGUCUACAUCUCUUGCUUACAUUUUACUUUGGAGGUUGCAAGAUCAACAUAACCUGAGUUUGGAAAAUAUUUAACAAAAUUCAAAAGAGGAAAAAAAAUCACUUCUAUUAAAAUGUACCUGAAUAAGAGGUAUAGAAAGCACAGAUGUGGUAAUGUUGAAGGAAAGAAGGCACACAUGGGAGCUUAUGCUGUAUAAUUCCAUUUAUACAAUGUAUCAACACAGGUGCAAAAAGUACAAUUAGCUGCUACAUCUCUGAGAAGAAAGAAUUUUGCUGAUGAUCUAACAGAACUUGUGAGUCAUCCAUCAGGAGAUGUUUUAAUGGUGCCAAGAACUCAGUAAAGUCUGUGAUGGAUUUGGCAAGGUCAUUUGUCAUUUUCACAUCAGCAUGGUUUUGGCACCUGCUUCUCAGUAAAGAAUUGCACUGUUGGAAACUCACUUUUGACAAAGAUGGUCUGCUUCUGACCAAAUGGUUUAUGCUACAGCAGAGAAGUACAUUUUUUCAGAAAUUAUGGAUAACAUUCUCAUGGACUUAAUCAUCUUUCAUAUUAGUUCUCAAUACAAAAUGGCAUGCUUAACAGUUACAGUGAUUUCAUCCAGUUUUCUCUGGAACAAUUUGUGACUGAACUGGUGAAUAUGUUAUGCCCUAAGGAGAAGGAUGCUGAACCUUCAGAUAUCAGGCCAGCAUUCCCAAAAGAAAGAAGGAAGAAUGGUGAAAGGCAAAGGAUCAAAGAAAUAGAAUUCUUUCACAUCCCUGAAGAGAUUAUGAAAUCUGAUAGCCCUCCCAAGAGAUAUCAAUCAUGAUGCUACUUUGUACUUCCCCUUCUUAUUCACGUUGCAGUGAAAUACGCUUCCCUGAUCCAGUGACUCUGGGCUUGUUGAGGCCGUGGAGUGUGACAAGACAUAAUUCAUAGAGGCUUCAAACGUAGCUUGCGUGAGUAGGAUUCCUCUCAUAUGCUGCCAAGAUCCACUUCAAGAAGAACAUAUCACAGGUGUCAUUGGACCAAUGAGAACAGAAAAGCACUUGGAGUGGAUCCAAACAAUGUUGGUGAGGAAGUUCAGGAGAUUUAAAAAAAUGAAG